GUGCCAGUAGAGUAGUGGUUAACUCGUUUGCUUUACACGCAAAAGAUCCCAAGAUCAAGACUUGGCUGGCACC
Non-coding RNA from Rhagoletis zephyria (snowberry fruit fly), 73 nucleotides. The record is from the annotation of a RefSeq genome assembly. NCBI's taxonomy places the organism in Eukaryota, Metazoa, Arthropoda, Insecta, Diptera, Tephritidae.